This 519-nucleotide ribosomal RNA is filed under the name uncultured eukaryote. RNAcentral's name for it is "SSU rRNA". It matches the Rfam family "Eukaryotic small subunit ribosomal RNA", at positions 1161 to 1704 of the family's 1831-position model. The record is from RNAcentral.
AGGGCACCACCAGGAGUGGAGCCUGCGGCUUAAUUUGACUCAACACGGGAAAUCUCACCAGGCCCGGACACCGGAAGGAUUGACAGAUUGAAAGCUCUUUCUUGAUUCGGUGGGUGGUGGUGCAUGGCCGUUCUUAGUUGGUGGAGCGAUUUGUCUGGUUAAUUCCGAUAACGAACGAGACUCUGGCCUACUAAAUAGACAUUGGAUCAUUUAUGAUCCAUUGCAGCUUCUUAGAGGGACGGGCGGCUUAUAGCCGCACGAGAAUGAGCAAUAACAGGUCUGUGAUGCCCUUAGAUGUUCUGGGCUGCACGCGCGCCACACUGAAGGAAUCAGCGUGUGUACCCUGUCCGAAAGGACUGGGAAACCCGUUGAACCUCCUUCGUGAUGGGGAUUGGGGAUUGCAAUUAUUCCCCAUGAACGAGGAAUUCCCAGUAGGCGCGAGUCAUAAGCUUGCGUCGAUUACGUCCCUGCCCUUUGUACACACCGCCCGUCGCUACUACCGAUCGAGUGUUUUAGUGA